GUCAAACCUGCCCAGUGAAUUAAUUUUUAACGGCCGCGGUAUCCUAACCGUGCAAAGGUAGCAUAAUCACUUGUCCCCUAAAUAGAGACUAGUAUGAACGGUUAAAUGAGGGCCUAACUGUCUCCUGCAGCCAAUCAAUAAAAUUGACCUUACAGUACAAACGCUGUAAUAUAUAUAUAAGACGAGAAGACCCUGUGGAGCUUUAAAUUUUUACAUUAUCUAUAUAUCCUAAAUUUUUUAUUAAUAUAAUGUAAGUUUUAAGUUGGGGCGACUAUGGAAUAAAAAGAAACCUCCAUGAAAACACGAUUAAACCUCGUCACGCAAGGCCAACAAGCCUAACAAAAUUUAAACCGACCCAGUAAAACUGACCACCGAACCAAGUUACCCCAGGGAUAACAGCGCCAUCCCCUUAAAGAGUCCACAUCGACAGGGGGGUUUACGACCUCGAUGUUGGAUCAGGACACCCAAGUGGUGCAGCAGCUACUAAAGGUUCGUUUGUUCAACGAA
Molecule: ribosomal RNA, 507 nt
Filed under: Phelsuma nigristriata
Lineage: Eukaryota; Metazoa; Chordata; Lepidosauria; Squamata; Gekkonidae
Description: partial 16S ribosomal RNA
Rfam family: Bacterial large subunit ribosomal RNA
Source: RNAcentral